This 372-nucleotide ribosomal RNA is filed under the name uncultured bacterium. RNAcentral describes it as "bacterial SSU rRNA". It matches the Rfam family "Bacterial small subunit ribosomal RNA", at positions 525 to 896 of the family's 1533-position model. The record is from RNAcentral.
ACAGAGGGUGCGAGCGUUAAUCGGAAUCACUGGGCUUAAAGGGUGCGUAGGCGGAUGCAUAGGCGCUUUGUGAAAUCCCACGGCUCAACCGUGGAAUUGCUUGGCGAACCAUGCGUCUUGAGGUUGGUAGAGGUCACUGGAACGAUAGGUGGAGCGGUGAAAUGCGUAGAUAUCUAUCGGAACGCCAACGGUGAAGACAGGUGACUGGGCCAAAUCUGACGCUGAGGCACGAAAGCGUGGGGAGCAAACGGGAUUAGAUACCCCGGUAGUCCACGCCGUAAACGAUGCACACUUGGUCGGAGCGGUUUGACUCCGUUUCGGCCGUAGGAAAACUGAUGAGUGUGCCGCCUGGGGAGUACGGUCGCAAGAUUA